CAAUGUUCGUUUGGUUUUUUCUUUGCCAUUUUCAUGAUUAAAAAAUUCUUUAUAUCCAACUUGGAAAUCCAAAACUAAUUUUACGUUCUGUAACUCUAAUUUUACAUUAUUUCAUAUAAAUAUUACGUUGGCUUAAUUAUUAAUAAAGUAAUAAUGCACAUAUAAUAUAUUCACAAAUAUAAAUAAAUCUAUUAAAAUUUAUAUAAAAAUAUAUGUUCAACUUAAUAUUAGUGGUCUACUGGUAACAUAAAUGGGUUGAUUUCUUUGGACCACAGAUUUAAAUCUCUUUUAAUAUAAAAUACCAUUAAAAAAUAAAUCUAAUUUUGAAUAUUGAAUCAAUUAUAAACCGAAAACAUGGAACUCCUAUAAUCCCUAUAAAGGAAAUGUAUUACAUAAAAUGUAAUUUUAUUAGUAUGAGAUCAAACUAGUAAUUAGAAUUCAUCACCCUCAUAUUGUUUAACACAUUUUCUUAGCUAAAAUUACAAUAUACUUUCUGCUGAAACUGUUCAAUUUAAUACUCCAUUUGUCACAUGCAUUGUUGAAUUUACUUAAGUAGCUAGCAAACAAAGAUGCCAGUAACAACAACUAUUUAUAUUUUUCCAAAGUUAUGACAAUUAACUCGACCGUUACAGUUCGCAAAUGCCAUUCACUUGGUUUACAAACGUGUUGAUGUCGUAUAUCUACUAUUUAUUAAUACAAACAUGUCUAUAAAAUCUUCCUUUUUAACAAUGUCCAAAUAAAAUUCAGCUUGUUAGAAUAAGUUACAUUUUCUAUGAAUCACAUAUGCACAUACAAAUAUGCAGCAUAAAUAUUAUUUCUAUAAUUUGGGCAGGGCUUGUAGCUUUACAAAAUAUUACAGUAAUGGAAUUUGAGAGAAAGUAGAAGAAAUCGACUAAAAAUAUAUACAAAUUUCGUAAAAAAAACAAAUUAUAUAAAUUUCAAUAAUAACUAUGAAUUUUGUGACAUUUUAAUUAUCAACUUUAACAUGAAACGUUUUUGACCAUGAAAUCCACAGCAGUCAAAAGAAAGGAUAAUUUAGCAUGAUUGACUACAUUAUAUAACUUAAAAAAUUUGCCAUAAAAAUAUGUAAGAUGGAAGACUCUUUCAACAUAUAUAGAGACUAGGACCAACCAAUCUCAAUGAUUUAUAUCAGCAGUUAUUGUUAAUCUAAUCAUAAAAGCAAAAGUAUAAUAAUAAUACGUAUAAGAGACAGCUCUUGUGAGCGAUAGCAUGAUCGACACGUGUCAACUUUUAGCGGCGCUAAAAAAAAUAUACGAUCUACGUAGUCACGCAUACAGACCAGAGUUCCACCGUUGUCUUUUUAAUCAUUUACUUUUUUUUUUUUUUUUAUUUUUUAACGUCUGAACAUAUUUUAUUAAUAUAUCAAAGUACAAGUAGAGUUAUAAAAUCGUUUACAAAGCAACGAAAUACAAUUUAUUACAUAAGCAGAAAUAUGCGACAUAUGCUGAAGACAAAUCAUUUGUAGAAGUGAAGAUUGACGUUGCUUUUUUGUCCAAUAAGCCUUACACGCUAACAGAACAUGUGAUCUGUUAUUUUCCUUCUCCAUAACUUGUCUCGCUCUGAUAUGAUAGGUAUGCCUUAUUGGCAUUUUAUUUGUUUUCCAUAUCAUACAGUAAAACCUCAUUGUAUUCGGGGCGUCGACACGGUACCAAUUAGUCCGUAUCCGUGUUCUUUGAAUCAAAGUAGACUCUAUAAUACUCUUCUUGCAACUCCGGUAAAUUAACCAUUUACACCAUCCACUCAUAUGCAUUGAUACUCUCCGGUGCCAUGAUGGCUUCCAAUACCCAAACAAUCGUACUAAUAUUUCAAGUGAGAAAUUAACAUCAAUACCUUCAUAUAUUUGAGACACCAUCUCUGAAAGAUUGUAAGCGCCAAACAAAUCUUGAUAGAUGUCAAACAAGCCCGUUGACAAGGACACUUGUAAUACACAUAGGUUUCUCUCUCCAAACAUAGUUUCCUCAUGCACACAAGUUCUUCUAUGUACUCUGGAGGCCGUGCCAGAUUUUGACGGUAAUAGAUGCACGAUGAAAUCAAUAUCAUAGUCUCCAGGCCAAGGUGGCCUGAGGAAUGAUUGCGUCUCUCCAUGAAUGACCAGAAGAGGAAGAAAAGCAUCGUGCAACAAGUGCUCGGGUAAGGCGCCAACGAAAUCAGUGAGAUUUCCCGGAAAUACACCAACAAAUUCAACAUGAUUUGUUGGAAGAACACGCUCCAAAAUGGAGAAAAUCAAAACUUCGAGACGUGAUUGCUCCGAAACUCUAUCCCAUAAUUUCAGAAUUGAACGAAGGGAAACCAGGCCUAUGGAAAUAACAGUCACAAGAGGCGGUGCUUGGAGUGAAGGAAGAGAAUCACGUCGUCGGAUAGAUAAAUAAAAGCGUUGAUUGGAUAUGAAUCCAAACGUGAGUAGUAUGAUACAAAUCAUUAAAUUAUUGUGGAAACAAAAGAAAAAAGAAAGAAAACCGGCGGCCGGAACCGCCGGUGGUGCUCGUAAAAGUGAAAAGGUGUGUUUUAUAUAAUCGCUCUGUAAAUCGCCUCUAGAGAGAGAGUUUUUGACACUCUUUGACUAUUAAUCAUUUACUUUUAUUGUUGAAAAAAUCACUUUAAUCUUUUUCAACCUUUGUAACAGAGAGAUCCACGCUGUCACCUAAACCUUUUUUUGUCUAAUUUUAUUUUUCCCAAAAAUAAUAAAGAGAAAUUUCAGAGAGAGAAAAAAAGGAAAAAUAAAAAUAAAUAAAAAAAGUCAGGCGUCUUUCUGCAGAAUUCACAUUUGGUCUCUCUCUCUCUCUCUCUCUCUCUCUCUCUCUCUCUCUCUGUAUUGUAUACGCUUCUAGAGGGAAGAGGAAGAAGAAGAAGAAGAAAGACUCAUGUCUGGUCUAUACAACAACAACUCUUCUUACUUCUCUCCUGCUAGAGCUGCUUCUCCUCAGAUCAGAAGCACUCCUGAGAUCGACAGGUAUAUAUGCUCUCUCUCCUCUGAUCUCUUCCUCUCGAAAAGAACACUCCUUUUGUUUGGUUUCUUAUAGCAAUAAAAACCGAUCUGAUUGUUCCUUCUUUGCUCGAACAGCUCUCAGUACUUGACGGAGCUUCUCGCAGAACAUCAAAAGCUCACACCUUUUAUGCAAGUCUUGCCCAUAUGCAGCCGCCUUUUGAAUCAAGGUUUCUCCUUUUCUUGAUUUUGAUUCGGAUCUAAACUGUAUAUUCCACCUCUUCUCUUUCCUUUUUUUAUUACAACACUUUCCCACUCCAAUUUUCUUACUUAAUGUUCAAAUCAGUUAAUCCAAUCAACACAGUGAGAUUUAAGUUGAAUGGACAGAUCAUUGUUUGGGUCUGUGAAUUCAAAUCAGUUAAUCCAGUCUUACUGAUAUGUCUUAACAUUACUUAUUUUAGUACAAGCUGUAGUGUCUUUUAGUUUCCUUGUUGUGGUUGUUGAUUUGAAAGGCUUUAUUGAUGUGCAGAGAUGUUCAGGGUAUCUGGAAUGAUGCCUCCUAACCAAGGAUUCGGCGAUUUUGAUAGACUCAGACACAGAAGUCCAAGUCCUAUGGCUUCUUCUAAUCUUAUGUCUAAUGUCUCUAACACCGGUUUAGGUGGUUGGAACGGUGGUCUCUCUCAGGAGGUAUUAUUAUCAUCUAAUCCAUUGUUUAAACUCUGUACCUAUGUUGUCUAAGAUGUGUUUGCACUGUGUGCUUCUUACAGAGACUUAGUGGAACACCUGGAAUGACAAUGGAUUGGCAAGGUGCACCUGGAAGUCCCAGCUCAUACACUGUGAAAAGGAUAUUGCGUCUGGAGAUUCCAGUAGAUAGCUAUCCUAAUGUGAGUAAACUCAUUCUGCUUCCUCAUCAUUUUACUCCAUAAGCUUUUUUUUAAUCACUCUUUUCUGUUUUUUACUUGCUAUUUUUACCAGUUCAAUUUUGUUGGAAGGCUUCUUGGUCCUAGAGGCAACUCAUUAAAACGUGUUGAAGCUACCACUGGUUGCCGUGUGUUCAUCAGAGGGAAGGGUUCAAUCAAGGAUCCAGAAAAGGUGAGAGAUGUCCAUGAAAUAUUUUUAACAAACAUGUCGUAUGCUUCAGAUGAGUAUCUUAUGUAUUUGAUGAUUAAAACAAUUAUAGGAAGAUAAGCUAAGGGGAAGACCAGGCUAUGAACAUCUAAAUGAGCAGCUUCACAUCUUGAUAGAAGCAGAUCUUCCAGCUAGUAUUGUGGAGAUUCGUCUGAGACAAGCUCAAGAAAUCAUAGAAGAGUUACUAAAGCCUGUGGUGAGUACACAUUCCCCACUACUUUCUUAACUCUUUGGAAUUUUCCAGUGUUCUAAAAAUCGGUUUAGUCGGCAAAUGGGGUCUGAAGAAACAAUUUAAUCUGAUUUUUUUUUAAGUCGGUGUUGGCGUCCCUGUUUAACUCUAUAAAACGCCUAACCACCGCCUAGUGAUUUUUUUGAACAUUGGUAUAAUCAGUACAAUGACAAUUAAGAUAGUAGCCACGUUUUUUAUUUUAUGUUCUUCCUUUGGUUGGUUAGCCUCAUUGAGAUCCUCUAGACUUAUUGCAUGUAGGGCCACUUGUUUCUUGUCACAACGUUUAUAUUUCAGUACCCACUCUUUGGUAGUUUGCGGUUGAUAUUCAACUAUGCAGACAUGUGUGACCACAAACACCAGUCAAAGCUUCAUUAUUGUUUUGUCUUUGAUCUCUUAUAACAUUGUUAUCAACCGCAGUCAUAAUAUGGAUUACAUUUUUGACAUAACGUUUUGUGUAUUUUUGUGUGGUUUAAUAAUGAAGGAUGAGUCUCAAGAUUUCAUAAAGAGGCAGCAGCUGAGGGAGCUAGCGUUGCUAAACUCGAACAACCUGAGGGAAGAGAGUCCAGGACCAAGCGGCGGUGGAAGCGUUUCGCCUUUCAAUUCAAGUGGUAAACGCCCCAAAACAGGAUGCUAAGGAGCGUUUUGUGUUUCAGUCAAAGGAGCGUUUUGUUGUUUCAAGGGGCGUUUUAAAUGGUACAUGUCUGCAUACACAAACACUCAUGUGUGUAUACUUGGUUCUGGCCCAGUACUUGCUGCAGUGGUGGUGGUCAAGUUAAGGCCUCCCUGGUCUCUCUCCGGUGAGCGACCCUGUGGCUUUCCUUUUCUUUUCCUUUUAUUUAUUUUUUGUUUUAUUCGUCUUUAUAAGACGAAUAUCAGAGAUUCAUUACAGAUUAUUUAUAUAAAAAAAAAGAUUUAGAAAAAGAGAGAAGAAAAAAAUGUUGAAAUAUAUAAUGUGUAUGUAGGGGAAAAAAUGUGGCUGGGGAAAGGGAGUGUAUUGAAAUUCUUAUUGUAAAAACAAAAAAAAAAAGAAAAAAAAAACACAUUUAUUGGAUUGAUUCUUAUGGUUUGAUUUUGAAAAGUUUUAUCUAAAACUUUGCUUCUUUUUUAUUUAUAUCAGACAUUAUUUCCAUAUUUAUCUGUCCACUAAAUUCUUUUUUUUGGCUAAGUCUAUAUCAUAUAACCUUUGAAAUGUGAUUAGUAUAAUAUGACAAGUUGUGACAUACCCUUGUGUAUAUACUGUCAUGUUAUACAUGUAAUUGAUGGGUUGAAAUUUGAAAACGAUAAUAUCAAAAUAUUUAUGGAACGAAGUACAUUGGGUUAGGAAUCUUGAAGGUGCGAUUCCCUGAAUAUUCUCCUUGUAUGUCACUCCAUUGGUCGCCUACAUUGCCCCAUAUCCUGUAACCUUCUUCCAUCAACUGCUUUCUGAUUGUUGUUUUGUAUGUUGCUGCGCUUUGUUUUUUGUUCUCUGCUGUCCUGCAAGUAGAGAAUCAUUUUGUCCACAUCGUGAGAGGCUUUAUCUUCGAAAAGAAAAGAUACUACUAAAUAAGUAAACCUUCUUUUUUACCUCAUAAUCAAUCUUUCAUAACCAGUGAAGCCUUGAUCAUGCAAAUUUUCAACUGUUGCUUGGCGAAGGGUCUCUUCAUCUCUCCCGGUUACUAGGAAAACUUUGAAUCCUAUUUCUAUCAGAUCAUUGAAGAGUUCGAGAACAGGUUGUAUAGCUGGAGAUUCUCCUUUCAUUGCCCAUGUUCUAAAUCCUGUUGGAUCAUAAGGGUCGCAUCUACAUGUUAACAAAGAGAGCAUAACAUAACAUUAGUCACAUUUUUCUAAACUUUUUGUAUUCAAUCAAGAAAAAAACAAGUGUAUACCCGUAUCUCUUGAGCCGAUAGUAGUAGACGUUUGAGAAGCAAGUAUCAUCAACAUCCAAGAUCCAUGCAUCCAUGCCAUCACCAGGAAGGACUAUCUCAUUGAGAUAAACCCUAACUUGUUCCACAAUCAACUCAACGUCUCUGUCAUAUUGACCAGCGAGCAUAUAUGCCUCAACGUAACGCAUACAUUGUAGAGGUACGGUGCGCCACGCACGUACGUUGUUGGUUUCUAUUGCUAGUCUCCAGCUUAAGCAAUAGCUAGCUGGAUUGUUUCCAUCCAUCGGUAUCCAUGGACUUGCGCUUGUUGCCACUACGGAGAUUGUUAGAAAGAUGAGAAGCAACAUCACUCUCUUAUGUAUCUUUAUUGCUCUUGAUUAUUCUGCUUUCACUUGUGAAGAAUGAGGAUAAACAAAAUUAGAGGUCUUUUGUUUGACACAAGAGGAGAAUGGUUGAGAAAGAAGUUUGGUUAUAUUGAGAUCAGUGGUGAAACAAGAAGACUAAUAAAAGGAGAAAGGAAGCUUGAAGUGGAUCAGCUUUACUAGUAUUGUAGUUGUGCGAAGAGAUGUUAGUUAAAGAGUGGUAUUUAAAGAGCUUGGUUUGGUAUAAGAUACUGGUUUCAUCCACUAAGUCUCCACUUUUUUUUUCUUAAGACCAACUUAUGAGGUAUGCACAAGGAAAAUAUUAUUAACAAAUGGAAAAUGGGGUCAAAACUAGCAAGCGCACAAAUCACUAAGGCACAUCCUAUAUAUGAGCCACUAUUUAUAUUCCAACACUUUCACAUAUAUAUACCAUGCAUAUCAUCCUCUUCUAUAUAUAUACUAAAUAAUACAUCAUUGGCAUUUUUACUAAGUGGCAUGACAUCUUUUAGUUAGUAUAUAGUGUAUCACUAGGUGGAGGAGCUCACUAGCCGUUACAUACAUAAGUAAGACAAACCUACUUAAAGCACUUUCCAUGCAUGGUCAAAGUUGUAGGUUUUGUUAACACACUGAGACUAUAUUAACUUGAAGGAUACAUUGUGAGAUUCAUAGGUGAAACACAACCUUAUGUACAAGAAGAUAACCUAGGGUGUAAGGUUUCAUUUGAGGUUUUCUUGAUAUAAGCCCUAUUGUACUUUUAUAUGGUCAAUUUAUGUAAGAAAACAAAAAAAAAUUGUAUUGUUUCUUAGAGCGAGGGCCUAUGGAGCGUCUUACAGGUAAUUAUCAAGAAAUUAAUAAAGAGUGGACACACAUUUGUCAAACCAACAAAAAAAAAAAUGAACCGACCAAAUAAGACUACAUAAUGGAUUUGGAUGCUGACAAGGAUUAGAUUGUUAUUAACUUUUGUCAACGUAAAAGUGGAUGACACGUUAGUAGUAGUGUAAUGGAAAAUGUAAAGGACAGCAAGUAAUGGAGUUAACACUACUACUAGAUUGAUAAGUUCGUUAAGAGUUGUUAGCCUAUGAGUUCAUCUCAUUAACUAACGCUCCUUCUCAUGUAUGGUUUAAGUUAUUAUACACUUGAUUGCCACUCGUAACACCUUUUUCAUCUAAUCCAUUUACAUUUCUUUAACUGGUUGGGAGAUGCUCUCCCAUUUGAAACGAUAAAACGUCAUCAAAACACCACUUAUCUGCCGGUCCCAAGGUCAAGAGUAUUGUUUUUUUUUCCUAACGAAGAGCAUAACAUUCACUUUGAUCUUGAAGAGCUUAAAAGUCCAUCUGAUAGAAGACGGCAAAGGAGAGGCAACAAUAGGUCAAGACGAAUGGUACAUGUUUCGCUAGAAGCCAUGCAUCCAAUGGUAUACCAUUCUCUUUACUUUACAUCUUCAGCCAUGUCUUAGAUAAGAAGAGUUCACAAUGACUAUAAUGGAAAUCAAUACAAGAAAUAAACUUCAAAACUUCGAUAAAAUGUGCAAGAAAGUAAGUUUGACAUGUUUGGAAUAAAAGAAGCAAAAGAAAAACCUAAAUUAUAGACUCCUCUACUUACUACCUCCAAGACACUGAACUGUGAUAUCCUUACACAAACAUCAUAGCCAGAACAUUCUAAGAAUGUGUCGGCAAAUGGACAUAGAAGCUCUUGAUAAAUCAACCAGAGAGCCUCUCUGUCUUAAACAAAGCCUCAUGCAAUAUAAAAAAAAGAACACACACAUUUAUCUCCUCACCUCAACAGAACUUCCAGUGGUUGUCACAGUUGACACACGUAACAUAAGUAGUCAUCGGCUCAUCAGCACUCCUCGUCUGCAUCUGAUAGUAAGUGCAUUUACGCUGCCCACACCUCCCACACUUGAACUGAUCAGUACUCGCUUUCGGCGCCUGGCCACGCUCACAAUCAAACAGAAACUUCUCCUUGAUCUGAUUAGUCUCCUGUUUCCUCUUGUCGCUUGCCAUCUCUUCACCAGACAAUGUAAUAAGUUUCUCCGGCGACACCUCCCCUGUGAGAACCCUCCUCCUCAGAUCCGGAUUGUUACUGUCCCUCAGGUUGAACAUUAUAGACCUGUACUUCACCUUCUGAGCUCCCGUUGACCGUCCCAGCUUCUCAAACAUGUGAGACUCCACCGAGACAGCGACGCGGAUUGGAUCACAUCCAACAACUCUCGCUCUAUCGUAGUCAUCUGAUUCGUCAUGGACCUUGGACAUUGCGUCCACAAGCAGCUCACGGAUCUUGUCACGCACAGGGUCGUUGCAUUUCACCAUCGAAGUCAGCUUUGGUGCACCAUUAAGUGGUGCCUUAGCUGGAGCUUUCGUACUAGAUUGAUUCUCCUUUGAGGCCCCAGCAUUGACUUUGUUGUCUCGUUCCUUCCUCUCUUCUACCUUGAUGCUCUUAGCUGAAUCACCUCUCUGAAGCUUCUGCACUUUCACAGGCGCUGGAUUUGCAUCCUUCCUGUCAAGCUUAGACUUGGAUGUCUCUUCAAUGACAAGUUUCUUCCAUGUCUCAAGAAGAUCAGUAGCUACGGUUUUUAUUUCUUCAAUAGGAUGUUUUGAAAGAGACCUUAGCUUCUUCCCUACCUGGAAGCAAUAACAUGCUAUUAGAGUGAUUUUUAAAUCUCUCUAACAUUGUUUGAGCAUAAUGAGAUUAGAAUUAAAGAUAAAUCAGUUUUAAUUUCCUGUGAUUUUGAACCUCUCUAAUAUUGUUUGAGCAUAAUCACAAUAAGCUUCAUAAAGUUUUAAUCUUUUCAAUUUUUUUGAAAAGUUUCAGAUGAGAUUAAUGAACCCUAACACAAGUCAAUGCUAUGAGAUUAAGGCAAGCAACAGAUGCAGAGAACCCUCUGAUUCAAACAGCGUAUUAGGCAAAAAAGAUCGAGACUUUGUAGAUUAAAGAGAUGAAAUUUGAAAAGAACCUGAGUCGCGACGAGCAUGUCGUAUGUGAUGGGAAACUUCUUGAGCUGUUUAAGGGCGUCGAGAGAUCGAGAAACCUCCGGACCUGAGGAGGUAACGCCGUCGAUCGCCGCCGCAUCGGCUGCCUUCUUCGCCGCCUCGAACAAUUCGAUCAAUUCGCUUUCCAUCGUCCUUCGAAUCGUUAACUUAUUCGCAAAAUCAAGAUAGAUUCAAGCCGAAUCAGAAGCAAUAAACCCACAAAAAAUUGCUGCGAUUGAAGAAUAAGAAGAAUGAGAUUUGUUCGGCGGAACUUGGUUCUUGUCGGGACGGAGAAGAUAGAGAUUACGUAGUUAAACAGUGUUUUUAUUUGGCGAUCUAACGGUUUCAGUUACAACUUUAGGGAAUCAACGGUUUAGAUCACGUGACUUGGUCUAUGGAUGUUACUAGAUUCACGCUUCCGCUCGAGGUUACUACAUCAAGUAUGGGCUAUAUAAGGCCCUUAUUGGGCCAGAGUCGUUUUAUAGUAACAAAAACAAAACUUUCCUUUUUUCUAUUUGUACUAAAUAAACAUGACAAUAUUCAAUUAUUUCAUUGUCUCCCUACUGGAAUCACUUGGAAAAUAUGACAAUAUCCUCUUUUCUUUUCUAGAAUCCACACAUAUUAAUCCUGUUUAAUGUUAUCAAGAUUUAACAUAGAUAACAUUUAAUCAUUGAUCCAAUAACCUUUAAAAUGGAUUUUUCCAGAGUGUGUGUGUGUCGACAAGACUCGAGAGUCACCGUAAAUCUAGGCAUAUUUCACGUUGAAGUAAGGAAAGAAAGAAAGAGAGUUGAACUUUGAAAUGGACGACACGUGAGCGGUGAAGGCAAAGGACCCAGACGUCGACGUACUCGUGCUAAGCCGUCACCGACGUGAAACACGUGCGUGCCAUGCAUUAUGAAAACACAAUAUGCUUUUUUCUCAGUAAAGUUAUCUAACAAAACAAUAAUCUCUUCUUCUUUCAAAAUGAACAAAUGAUUAGUCAUUAAAAUACUAUAUAUGUUAUAGAUUGUAACUUCUUCUGUUCUUGCAUGUAGCGUAGAUAAGGGAGGUAUGGAAAAAAGUUGUUAAAAUAACACGUGAUUAUAGUUAAAACUUUUUCAUAACCAUCAAUCACUGUGUUCAGUUAUAAACCUAGAAUACAUAGACAUUUUUCUUGAUUCUCUGCCAAAACCUCAAGCUUCCUUUUUGAUCUCAUUGUAUCAUCAACGAUAUAACCGAAUCAUCCUUUACAACGACAGAGGCUAGCAGAAGAAGCAUUGAAUCUCCAAUAGUACUUGAUUAGAAGUACCGUGAAGAUGAAGUUUGGAGUAUUGUCAUUCUCUUUUGUUCUGAUCCUGGAAUUAGCCUUUGGUACAUUCUUGGUGGAGAAGAACAACUUAAAAGUGACUUCACCUGACAGCAUCAAAGGUGUUUAUGAAUGCGCCAUUGGGAAUUUUGGAAUUCCAAAAUACGGGGGAACACUUGUCGGAACCGUCGUGUAUCCCAUGUCUAACCACAAGGGAUGUAAGAGCUUCAGCGAGUUCGGUGUCUCCUUCAAAUCUUCACCUGGAAGCUUACCCACUUUCCUUCUUAUUGAUCGAGGAGGUUCGACUUCUUUCUUUUCUAUCUCACUUUCCUUCUUGUUACCUGAUCAGACAACGAUAGUUUUGUUAAAGUGUGUUUUAAAUGACUUUGCUAGUGAGCUAAGGUAUAAAAUGUCCGUUUAGCACUUUGUUAAGUGUGGUUAAAUGUCUGUUUUAUAACUCUUUUUGGACUUAAAAAUGUCAGAAAAUCUUUGUUUUUGUACAAACGCUAGUCAAGCACAGGAAAGUAAGAACACUUACUAUUUGUAUAUUGAUUAUGUUAAUAAAUAAUUUACAACUUCUUAAACUCGUAUUUAUACAACCUAAAACCCCAAUUUUCAUUUUCUAUUUAGAAAAACUUUUUUAUCUACUAAAUGCACCUCUUCUAAUACUAAAAAAUUAUAUUUAACCUAACAGCUACAAGUUUUAUUCAUUUUAUAUCGUUCUAAGAUCUUAGUAUCUUGCUUGUAUGUCCAUGUCAUUGUGUGGCUUGAAGAGUGUUUUAGUCUCUUAACCUGAGUUGGUUCUCUACGAACAGAUUGUUACUUCGCCUUGAAAGCAUGGAACGCUCAACAAGCCGGAGCAGCAGCCAUUCUAGUGUCCGAUAACAAACUCGAGCCACUAAUCACAAUGGACACACCAGAGGAAGACACUGCUAACGCAGACUAUCUAGAAAAAAUCAACAUCCCUUCAGCACUAAUCAGCAAAUCGUUAGGAGACAGCAUAAAGUCAGCUAUAUCCGAUGGCAACAUGGUCAACAUGAAGCUAGACUGGACCGAGUCAGUUCCACACCCGGACGAGCGUGUGGAAUACGAGCUUUGGACCGACAGCAACGACGAGUGCGGCAAAAAAUGCGACACGCAGAUUGAGUUUCUAAGAAACUUUAAAGGAGCGGCUCAGAUUCUUGAGAAAGGAGGGUACACUCAGUUCACACCGCAUUUCAUAACAUGGUAUUGCCCCAAGGCGUUUAUGCUGAGUAGACAGUGUAAGUCUCAGUGUAUCAACCAUGGAAGGUACUGUGCUCCGGAUCCUGAGCAGGAUUUUACGAGAGGGUACGAUGGAAAAGAUGUUGUUGUUCAGAAUUUGCGCCACGCUUGUGUGUUUAGAGUGGUUAAUGAGACUGGUAAGGCGUGGAAGUGGUGGGACUAUGCUACUGAUUUUUCUGUUAGAUGUCCCAUGAAGUAUAACAAGUAUACAAGUGAAUGUGCUGAUGAAGUUAUCAAGUCACUUGGUGAGUGUAAUGACUUCAUUAGCUUAUGAGAUUCUUUUCCCCUUUAGCUAAUUUCUACUCUUUUUUUUGUGUUGUGGUUUUAGGGAUUGAUCUUGAGAAGGUGUACUUGUGUAUGGGAGAUACUGAGGGAGAUGUGGAGAAUCCAGUUCUUAAAGCAGAACAAGAGUCACAGGUAGGCAAAGGCUCCCGUGGAGAUGUUACUAUUCUCCCAACACUUGUGGUGAACAACAGGCAAUACAGAGGUACCCCUCAAGAGCCAUACUAAAACAUGUUUACUUAUUUGAUUGCUUUUGAUAUAAUUUUUUUGUGGUUCUAGGUAAGUUGGAGAAAGGAGCAGUGCUGAAAGCUAUAUGUGCAGGGUUUCAAGAGUCAACAGAACCAGCUAUAUGUUUAACUGAAGGUUACAUUUCUCUGAAAGAUUACUCUAGAACUUAGUUAUUUGCAUUUCAAUAACUUGGAGGAGACGUUUGCUUUAAUAUUUUUUUUUUGUUUAUUACAGAUCAAAACACCAAUGAGUGCUUAGAAAACAAUGGUGGAUGCUGGCAAGAUAGAGCUGCUAACAUUACUGCAUGCCUUGUAUCCACUUGAGCUUGAAUUUUUCAACAAUUUUUUUCUUUAAUUUUGUUGUUGCUGGUCAAAUCUGAUUUGCUCUUCUUUGUUAUGAAUUGGUAUAUUAGGAUACUUUCAGGGGAAGACUGUGUGAGUGCCCUACUGUUCAAGGUGUCAAAUUUGUUGGUGAUGGUUACACUCACUGCAAAGGUAAAUUAGUUUGACAUUUUUAGCAUUGCUGCUAUAUUUGUAACUUUUGAAUAGUCUUCCUCAGUUACAUGUGUGUAGUAUGGGAUUCAGAAGAAUAGUAUUGUGUGCUGCUGUGGUUCUUUUAUUUUAUAUAGUCUGUACUUGUGGACAGCUUCUGGAGCUUUGCGCUGUGGAAUCAACAAUGGAGGAUGCUGGAGAGAAACCAGAGGUGGCUACACAUACUCUGCUUGCACUGUAAGUAAAUUGCCAUUUGCCAACUUCUAAUAUCUUAACAAUCAUUUUCUCAAGUAUUUAAUAAACUCUUUUUGAAAAUGGGUUUUUUAUUAGGAUGAUCAUUCAAGUGUUUGCAAAUGCCCGCCUGGUUUCAAGGGAGAUGGUGUAAAGAGCUGUGAAGGUAUAUGCAUGUAUAUAUGUACUAGUCUUUCAUGUGCAACCAACUUAGUAAAAGACAUAACAUCAUGUUGGUCUGGAAAGUGAUCUUUUUCGGUUGUUCUGUUUGUAUUGGCAGAUGUUGAUGAGUGCAAAGAGAAACUGGCUUGCCAGUGCCCUGAGUGUAAAUGCAAAAACACAUGGGGAAGUUAUGAAUGCACCUGCAGGAAGGGUUUGUUUUACUUGCGUGAGCUUGAUACUUGCAUUGGUAACCAUUCUUCAAAAUGCGACCUCGAAAUGUUACCAUUUAGAAACUCUGCACUCUAGCCUGAACUGUGUUUUAUGAUACAGGAGCAUUUGGAGCGGUGAAGCUAGGCUGGAGCUUUGUGUUGAUACUCUUACUAGCGUUAACUGCUGCGACUCUUUCAGGAUAUGCUAUCUACAAAUACAGAAUCAGGGUAAUGUUCACUUCACAUAGAGACUUGUAAGUCUUUGAUAUCUCUAUUCUAUAACCAAAAGAAACAUGUAUUGUUGUUACAUAUGUGCAGCAUUACAUGGACUCGGAGAUUCGGUCGAUCAUGGCGCAGUACAUGCCUUUGGACAGCCAGCCCAACAAUACUGAAACUCAUAUGGACUUUUGAGUCCAUCAAUCUGUAUGAGGAGUUGAAAGAUGACUCUUCUUUUUUAGUUCUACCAACCUUUUGUUUGAUCUAUAUUAGUAUAAUGCAACUUAGACCACACAAUAAGCCUAUUACCGGCUCCUCUUUUUAGUUUGAAUCUGUUUUUUUUUUCCUCCAAGAACCUGUUCUUAUGUCCCUAUGACACAAACUAUCAAACUGUAUGAUCAGUUAAUAGAUUGAUCUUCUAGUCCUGCAACCUUUCAUCUCUGAUGUAACUUCACAACCAUACUAGUAGAGUGACCAUUAGUCACUUUACAUGGAGCUGUAACAUUUUGUAAGUCAUAAGAAUCUCAGUUCAAUUCUUAUGCUUUCUUUUGUUGAUGGCAUCUCUAGAUGAGCCUAACCGUAUUAUUGUUUGUUGAUAUGUGGCAAAAGGACACCACCAAAUCCAAAUACAGUACACAAGUUUAGAAGAUGAUUGAUCACAAAAGUUGUACACAACUUAAAGAGACAGAAGAGAAUUCUAAGAUUUCAUGUAACAGAGUAUGAUAGCUCAUGUUACCAUUUCUCUAUCCUUCUCUUCUUACAAAGCCUUCGCUUGCUUCAUCUUCUUCUCCACCUUGUUCUUUGUUUAGGCCCUUUUCUUUGUUGCUCAUCAACUUGUAACCGUAAAACGCCAACACACCACCACUGCAACAACAAUAAUCCAACAAAUUUAAAUGUAAAUCAUAAUAAACUUGUAUAUGCAAGCAAAAUGUGUUUUCUUUUUCCUAUGGAACAUGAAUCUAAGAACUUUGGUGGAUGGAAAAAUUUAAAGAUAUCUCUUUGGGGUUUAGUUUAGGCUCUUCUUGCAAUCAUCUCUGGUGUUGCUUUACUGAAAUUGCAAUGUAAAAGAAUAACCAUUUUGAGUGUGUACCUUGUAAGGGUGGUCAAAAAGCCCAUGAAAGUAGAUCUCUGUAGAAAGAAAGAAAAAACAGGAGAGUGUAUUAUGUUUCAUUCAAAUCAACUGUUCAAACAAAUAAACUGAAUCAUCUGAAAUGUAAUCACGUUACCUGAAACAGCACCAACUUCAACUCUCUCAAAAAUAUGAUUGCCACUAUCGCUGUUCAACACAAGAACAUGUAAACAAACGAGUGUCAACAAGUUUGCUUUACAUCAAAAAAUGUCGGAGAAAUCACAUUGGUGAAAUGAUAAUCUGUUGACUUAUAUAUCAAUAUAUAUAACUGAAUAAGUCCCAGUAUCUCUUGGAAUAAGCCUUUAUGGUUAGCUACUUGGCAUGUCAGAGUGGUUAUCAAAGCUUUUACGCAAUCAAAAGCAAAUAUUUAAAAAAGUCUACAAAGAUGAAAACUAUACUAACCCAUCUGUCCUUUUAAGAACUUAGCAGAUGACUCUCCAAUCCUCUGAGCCUUUAGACUAGCCAUGCUCAGCGCAAAAAGAGCUCCACCAAGAAUGACACCAAACCUGAUAGCAGGAAUCCUUCCCGCUAUAAAAAAAACUUCCAGAUAUCAUAAAGGAAAGAAACCCACCCACAAACAAAAGCAAACCUGUACAGAAAGACAUUCUUUUAGUCACACCAUAAACGUUUAACACCAAGAUAUUUAUAACAUCUUUACCAUAAGGUAUCCCAACAUGAAAAUCUUGAGUUCUCGACACAUCCCUCAGAUCCUCACUGGAAGAGAAAGCUUCAACGAUCUCCUUCACAUCAGAAGGAGACUCCUCCGCUGCUUUCAAAAUAUACUCCCUACCUUCCUCCCCAACCUCUUUAGCCUUCGUCCCCAACUCCUCUUUAGCCUUCUCCGCUUGAAUCCUAAGCUGCUCAGAGGUAUCUUUCAAGAUAGUCAUCGCCUUUUGGGAGUUCACAUUGUACGCCUCGGAGGACACGCUCUGAAUCUUCGAAACCUGCUCUUUGACAGACGCAAGGGUUUGCUUCCACGCUUCCUGAGAUGUACUAUCAUUGUCAUCACCGUCUACUACACUCUUCUCCUUCUCCACCUCAACACCUGAUGGUUCCUGUUCAUAAAAAAAAAGACAAUACUGUCACUUGAUAGCCAAUUAGAGUCGAGCAUAGGAGGAUAUUACAUAAAGUCUUGGUUUUUGAAGAAAAGGGCAAAACUUUCAGAAACUCAUAAGUAAACAAAAACAAGUAUUUGAGCAGACCCAGUACUCAUAAAAGACAAUAUCUAAAACCCCCAAAGUGCACCUCACUUGAAUGUACAUAAAGUAUUGAUUUUUGAGGAAAAGGACAAAACUUUCAUAGAUUUUGACGAACUCAGACCAAAAUCUAAUUCCUAAAACAGAGCAAUUACAAGUAUUUGAGCAGACCCAGUACUAGUACUCAAUCCCCCAAAGUGCACCUCACUUGAAUGUACAUAAAGUAUUGAUUUUUCAGGAAAAGGACAAAACUUUCAUAGAUUUUGACGAACUCAGACAAAACCCUAAUUCAGAAACAGAGCAAUUACAAGUUUUUGAGCAGAGUCAGGACUACUAGUACUCACAGAUUCCUCGUGGGAAGCGGCGAAGGCGACGAAGGAGCGGUUAAGCUUGGUAUCUGAGGUAAACCGGAGACGUAGACCGGUACAGGAAACGAGAGAUGGAGCGGUGAGAUGGUGGCGUGGGGUGGGAAGGUGUUGGAAACGGAGAGAGCGAAGCGUGGAGGGGGGACGAGAGUGAGGUCUGUGGAGGAAGGUUGAGAUAGGGCUUCUGAUGGACAUCAGCUCCAUUGGGAUACUCAUCUCUUGAUGGAAAUGAAUACUCUCAGUCUCAGAGGAGAGAAGAGAACAGAGAGAGAGAGAGAGAGAGAGAGAGAGAGAGGUUUUGGUUUAGGGAUUUUCAGGCUUGUCUUCAACUAUGAAGCAAAGUAUUUUCGCUAAGGACUAAACGCAAAGAAAAGGAUGUUUUGGAACGACGUCGGAUCAUGUGGAAAUAUAAACGUGAGUGGGCUUUUACAGUAAGAAAAUAUCUCGGAUGGGUUUUUGUCGUCGUUUUGAUAAAUCUAAGCAAGACCCUCUAAGUCAUCUAGAGUCUUCCUCGCUUUUAACAAAACAGUAGUAGACCCUCUUAUUCAUUUAGAGACAACACUGAACAUCUAUUCUUCCAAGGUUUAUGACUUUUUUUUUUUUCCUCCAAAAGUAGAUAUCAUUUCUAAAUAAAACCCAGAAGGGUGAGAGUUAAUGAUGGAGAAAAGAUAUUUAGAAUAAAUAUCUUAUUUAUUUAGUGUUUUAUUUAGAGUUUAUUUAUUAUUAAGAUAUUUAUCUCUAAUGUUUUAGGGUUUCUAUUUUGGUUUUCAUAUAAAUAGACGUUUAUGCCUAGAGUUGUAUUCAGAUUAUUGAUAUUGAUAUUUUAUAAAAGAGAGGUUUGAAACCCUUUAUUUCCUUGUUUCGGCUAGAACUCGAGAGUUCUCAACGAAUUUAAGAAGACAUUGAUCUUAGGCAUUCUUAGACUAAAUAAGAUCUUUGUGAUUAUCCUAGUUUUCCGGGUAUUCCAAGAAUCAACGGAUCUCUAGUCCUAUCUUUUAAAGCUUCCGCUACAUCAGUUAACAACAAAGCUUAUUAAAUAGACAAGAAGAUCAGAAAGACUUUAAAUAAAUUUGUAACUUAUGUGAAGCAAAACUUAAUUAAGCCAUCUCAAGCUUGGAAUCUGUCAAAACCAUGUAGAAAGAUAUGACUCCACAGGGUUUCGUAGUGGUGAAAUGCUGGCAAUAGGUUUAUGACUUAUGUAUCAACAUAUUAUGUUAGUUACCAACUGUAAUGCAAGUUAAUGAAUCUUUUCAUUCUGAUGAAACUAAACUAAACUAAGCGCGCAAAGUAUAUAAUAGAAGGUUAACAAAAAAAAAAAGAAUAUCAUUUUAUGAAUAACGUAAACAUAUAUCAAUUCUGAAAUUGAUAUAACGUUGUAUGCAAACAUAUAGUAAUACGCCUUACCAAGCCUUUUGUUUAGUUCGAUAUAGUCCUUUUAUCUCUCGGAGUUGCUUCUUCUUAUUUUUCUGGUAUUGUAUUAGGUUUUAUUUUCAGUACUCCGCUACUUGUUUAUUUUAUAAUUUCUGUCAAAAAGAAAUUGGUAUAAAAUUUAACAUUUACAUCCAAAAAAAAUACGUCAUACCAAUUAAUAGGAUUGCCAUAAUAUAAGAAGAAAAAAGACAAGAAAUUAAAAUGCUCUUGAAGAAACAGCAAUUAGACACAUCUUAUGUAAAACUAUUAAGUGUUGGACAAAAAAAAAUGUAAAACUAUUAAGUCUCACCCAGAAACUUGAGAAUUUAUGUAACGUGAGUUUCUCCCUUAAUUCAACAAAUAAUAUUUGGAGAUUCUCGUGUUGUUUGAACGGGAUCUCUUUUGUAAGCAUAAUAAUAAAUAUUUGUAUUUUGAUCUGUACGUGUAGACACGAGAAGAUGUCGGUUUGUCUGUCCUACCCUCCCACAAAAUUGAAUGGCACGACACAUUGGUAGGAUGGAGUCACUGUCCGUUUCCUAAACUUCGUCUCCCAUGCUACGUACUAUUUUAUAGUCUUACUUUUAUAAACCUGUGCAUUUUACUUGUACGGUUCACUAAAUCUUAUUGCUGUAAAUUUUAAGUUAUUACAGUGUGUCACAGAAACGAUAAUUAAACGUACAACAUCAUAUUUUUCGGAAAAAAAAAAGAAUUAAAUUGAAUGUUGUAGAGCGCCUCUGAUCCUUAUGUUAAACAAGCAGUUUUAGCUUAGCUAGAGAGUUACUUAUUCAACUUUGUUUUCACGUUGUUCUGCUUCUGACUUGAUCAGUCGAUCAAACACCAGAUUGAUACUUUUACGCUUCUCGGUCAGUUGGGCCGAUCAAAUCUGCCUUAUUUACCAUUGCUUCGUACGUUGCUUCCUCCUUGGUGCAGUUGUGCUCCUAAUUAGUGUUCCACAUGCAAAUUAACCAAAAUAAUCUAAGACUGAGAAAGCAAUCCAUCAUUUUCUCAUUAUAAACCUCAUAAACUUAAAGAAUGUCCCAUGUCCCAUUGUUUUUUUUUUUUUUUUUUUUUUUUUUUUUAUAUUUUUGGUAUCUGGGCAGGCCACAUUCCCAACUAUCCCCCGAAAGGGGUCCAGCGCCCCAACGGAAGGGAUGUUAAAUCCGUUGUGGCCAAGACUCGAACCCGGGUGGCGGGCAGUACAGCUGUAUCUCUUUUACCACCAAACUACGAGCGCUUGGUUAUGUCCCAUUGUUUUAGUUUAUGUUAUAUUAAGGCUUCCAAUGGAGGUAGUAUGAGACGAGCAGAAUGAAUUUGGAUACUUAAUGGUAAAGUAUCUCACCCCGCACCAAUGCACCAUCCGUUACUUCUUCACAACCUUAAAGCAAACUAAUGAAUUAAUAUAUAUUUUUUCCAUAUCGAUGUAACCAAACUUAGUACGUAAGAAUAUAAUAAAAGAACGUAAAUUAAAAAUCUUGAAAUUCAUAUUACGUUUGUUUGAGAACACAAUACAAACGACCAGUUAAUAGGGUCGGCAUAAUAAAAAGAAAAGACAGGAAAAUAGAAAACAUCCAUUCGAACAUCUUAUUAAAUAUAUAUUCUCAUCCAUUUCAUAGCAUGGGAAUUAUCCACUCAAGCUUCAUCCGAACGCUGCUUAUUUCACGCUGCAACCACAUCCAAUCAAACAUAACACCGUUAAUAUGAUUAUAUGACAACCUCAAACAUGGUUAGACCGAGUAGCUUUGAAUCCUAAUUUUUGUAUCCAUAUAAAAUUAUUAACAUAUAUAUGAAACCGAGCGAGUGUGAGAGAUUCAUCAUUCAUACGUACCCGUUGCAGUUGAUGCUAGUGCUAAUGGGGAAAGGAACAUUGACUCCACAUGCCUUAGGAAGUCCAGCUGCCCGGCCAGCGUUGAGACCAGAGCCUAAGGCGCUCGCAGCAGUUUUAAGGCAACGACAAGCUUGCUGACGGUCGGGAGUUGUACGGGCAAUACUGUUAAGCUUACUAACACCGGUGCAGCACGCUCUGGGAAGGGGUCCACCUUGGGUCAAGUAGCCAAUGCAUGCCGCCACGUUGGUGUUAACGGUGCCACAGCUCAAAGCCGCCUUUGAUGUGAUGGGACCUGCCACAAUCAUGCAGGCCAAGACCAAGCAUGCCAAUUUCACUAGACCGGCCAUUUGUUUUUUCUCUUAGCGUUUUUGCGGAUUUGCAAAAGUAGAUGUGUGUAAUUGUGAUACUGAGUGAGGAAACGAGCCGAGGGAGUGACUGUUUAUAUAGAGAAUGAAGUAUAUGUUAUGAAUGUGGAUGUGAUUACAAGAAAGGACUACUUAGUUGGCUGUUGGUUACAAUUAAUGUAGAGUACCUAAUUAUGUUGGGUACCUCUCAUAUAUAUGUAUAUUUUCUGAUAUAAUUAUCUCAUCUGUUUUUUUGUUUGACAUUUUAUUUCAGUUUUAUUUCUGAAAACCAAAAUACAUUUUAUUAACGUACGUACGCCGUUCUUUCACUUCCACCGUAAGACUUUUGUAACUAUCCAUCUGGAAAAAAAUACUAGUAUUUUUAUGUAGAAAAAUAUUUGAAUAGAAGAUUUAUAUAUUACAACAUCUGUUCAAGAAUGAUUGAUUACUUUAGACCGGAGUUUUUUUAUAACCGAUCCCAAAAGCUUUAUAGGUCCGAGAACUAAUCACUACGAGACCCAUAAAAAUUUGGAGUUUUUUGCUAUCAAAAAUGUUCAUGGUGGCCAAAGGUGUCUACUCUAGAUUGGAGUUAGUAUCUGCUUAUAAAAAAUGAUGUAGCAGAUCCAACAAAAUACGCACCAAAAACAUAUUAAUAAAAUGAGAUAAACCACGAAAAAUUGCCCAAAAAUUAAACUAAAUAUAUAGUUAUCUCCUUUUCCAACGUAUGUGUGUUGGACGUAGCCAUAAAAGUUACUUACAAAGAUCAUGGAUUCAUGUACAUACUUUCAUAUAAAAAGUUUGAAUCAAUUUAUCAUGUAAUAUUAUUUGAUGGAUUGCACUUGAAAUAUAUUUUGGUGGGGGCAACUUCAAGUAGUAUUAUAAAUCAACAGACUCCACGACCCAGUGCCGUCCUAAUUUUAAAAAAACCACAAGCUAACUGAGAGAAAAAAACUAAAAUUGGCAUAAUUAGAGAAUAAAACUUCGGCUACUGAAUUUAAUGAUAAACUAGAUUUUGACUUGUGGAUCCUUACGGGUUUUUACUUUAUAUUUUAUAUAAAUAAAUAUAUAUAUAUAUAUAUAUCUUUGUUGUAAGUAGACAAUGUUAACAUUAUUAUUUUGUAUUAAAUGUUAUUUUGUUUUUCUUAUAAGUAUAACAUAUUGAAAAAUAUGUUGUAAAAAAAUAUAUAAUAUAAUAUUCCAUAUAUUACUUUUUCAAAAAUAUGUUGCUAUUUUUAUUUCAAUAUUAUAUUCAUAAAUGUGUCAUCAUAUUAUUAAUCAUAUUUUAUACGUACUAUCAUAUAAAUAAUUAUAUAAUUAAUAAUAUUUUAUAUGUACCAACAUAUAACUAAUUAUAUAUAUUAUAUUUUUAAAACUUAAUGUGAAAUAUAAAAACCAUAAUUUAAGUUGGUGUUUGAAAUUGAGUUUUAUGUUGUGUUUUUCUUAUAUAUAUAAAACAUUUUUCUAAUAAUGGUUACUGAAAAAUAUUUUAGUAAAAAUCAAAUUUUGAAUAUAUGUAUAUUUUUAAUCAAUUUUUGAUAUAAAUCAAUUUUAAAUUAAUAUUUUCAUUUGAAAUAUGUAUAUGAAGGGUAAAUUUGUUUUAUGAUUAUUUUAGACAGAAGCUUUUUUUUGCUAAUUAGAUUGAGUAAUUUUCGUAUAUUUUAAAGUUGACUGAGAUAUAUAAUUUCUCAAAUAUAAUGAAUUUCCAAUUUUUCUUAAUAGCAUAAGCCAUUCUUAUUUUUUUCUUUAAUAAGAUAGAUAUCUAUGUUUCUAAAUAAUAUUAUAUUUUUUUUAUUACUAUUCAUGUUUCAAAUAUUUCCUAAACGUACUUUUACUUUAAAUAAGAUUGAUGAUUUACACUACUAGACUAAAAAAACUUUUGAAGAAAAGCUGGCUGGAUUUAGUUUAUGUGUUUUAGAGCUGGAAGCCCAUGAUUUCUCAGCUUUACCUCGAGGUCGGGCCUGACGACUUCUAGCCCCUUGUGCAUAUACUGAAAGUUUAAUUGCAAUUUUUAUUUCUAAAAAUUUGAUUCACUCUUCUAUAACAGAAAAGGCAAUCAAAGUUGUGUCUAGACUUUUGGGAACCGUAUGCAAGUAUAAAUACUUCUGACAUUUUCUUUAAUAAGAAAAUAUCACAAGUAAAUUAUAAAACUAAAUUAAGUGAAAAGAUAAAUAACCUAUCAAUGAUGAAAACAUAGCCAAAAUUUAAAUAACAAUAUUAUUUCUUAAUGUUCAUUCUAUUUAAUUGUCCAAAUCAUCAUCUCAUAAGUGAUCAGUGUAAAGGCCAAAUCGAAUUAAUAAAUAGACCUCGAAUAUUUGUCACGGUUUUCCAAGGGUUGUCACGGUUCCUUGAAACAGUCCACCAUUUUCUCGAUUAUCAUAAGUCUAAACAAAUAAUUGAACAGUACCAACUACCAAGCGUGGGGAAUGUCUUGUUACUUCAUUUUCUGUAAAAUUAAAAUGCUCCGUUACUUCCCAACUGUAUUGCAAAUUAAAUAUAAUUUCCUUUUUGUUUAUGUUUGAUAAUUUUUGUUCAUAAUUAUGGAACUAAACUAACCUUCGGUAAGAAUAUAGUAGAAUAAAACGUAAAUCUUAGAUCUGAAAUUCAUAUAACGUUGAUUGUGAACAUAGUACAGACGACCAAAGUAAUAGGAACGUCACAACAUAAAAGACAGGAAACUGAAAAACUCUAAAAACAACAACCAUGGAACAUCUUAUUUUAGUAUUCGCUCAUCCAAUACAUAAUACUUGAACGUCUGCAUUAGCUUCAUCCGACCGCCGCUCAUUUCACACUGUAACCACAUACAAAUAAACAUAACACCGUUAUAAUAAAAUACUCAAAUCCCCAUUAUAAUUUUUUUUAGUAUAUACUUGUUGCACCGGUAUUAUCCAUCGGGAUAUGGUUAAACAGAACUUCAAAUCGUUAAUACAGUCUUUACUAAAACACUAAACUGUUAAUAUAAAAACUUAAGUUUUCAUUUAACAAAAAUAAUCUUCAUAUUAUCUACUUCUUGUUUAAAAAAACCACAGAGAGAGAAAGAGACAGAUUAACAUAUAUACCUGUUGCAGUUGGUGGUUUUGCUGAUCUUGUAAGGAAUGUUGACUCCACAUGCCUUAGGAAGUCCAGCUGCACGGGCAGCGUUGAGAGUAGGGAAGGCGUUAGCGGCUCCUACAAGGCAACGGCAAGCUUGCUGACGGUCUGGGGUUGUACGGGCCAGGUUGUUUAGACUAGUAACGCCGCUGCAGCACGCUCUGGGAAGGGCCGGCGCACCCUGGGCCAGGUAGCCAAUGCACGGUGCCACGUAGCCGCUAACGGUGCCACAACUCAGAGCCGCGUUCGAUGUGAUUGGACCGGCCACGAUCAUGCAGGCCAAGACCAAGCAUGCCAACUUCAUUAGACCAGCCAUAUUUCUCUCUUAGAUUUUUUUUGUUUGCAAAAUGAGAUGUGUGUGGAAUG
RNAcentral lists this long non-coding RNA (23583 nucleotides) under Brassica napus (rape). RNAcentral describes it as "long non-coding RNA (BNAP_LNC003973)". Lineage: Eukaryota; Viridiplantae; Streptophyta; Magnoliopsida; Brassicales; Brassicaceae. The record is from RNAcentral.